AAUUCACAACUAAUCAUAAUUAAAAAUAGUAUUUAUUCAACUUGUAACAGUAACGUACAAUAACACAUAAUGCUUUAUCAUUCAGUUGUGACAACCAAAUGAUUUAAAGUUUACAAGAAUAGUAGACGUCUUGCUCACAAGCUGAAAAUUCGGCCCACUACUCACCUCUGAGCUUCUUAGGCCUUUAUUUAUAAGUUAUAACAUAAUCUGUCUGAUCCGAAGUUUGUAUUUAGAAUGUAUGACUAAAUUCAAAUGACGGUCUAACUCUGGAAGUGGUGUGUUUAGGUGCAGGGAUAAGCGAUGAGUAAAUUCUUUUUGGGUGAUAAUGAAGGUAGGUUGUGGUAGAAAUGACGGUGAACUCAUAUUCGAGAAGAGGAAUUGUAUUUGUUAAUCCCCUCCCCUUGGAUGGCGUGGUGGUCUUCUAGGUGGAGGUAGAGGUGGGCACCUUCUGCGUGGCGGAGGAGGUGGAGGUGAUCUCUUUGGUGGUGGAGGUGGAGGGGGGCUCUUUUUCGGCGGAGGUGGUGGUGGAGGUGAUUUCUUAGGUGGUGGAGGUGGAGGUGGACACUUUUUUGGUGGAGGUGGUGGUGGAGGUGAUUUUUUAGGUGGGGGAGGUGGUCUGCUCUUUCUUGGUGGAGGGGGAGGGGGAGGUGAUUUCUUAGGUGGGGGAGGUGGAGGUGGGCUCUUUUUAUGUGGCGGAGGAGGUGGAUGUUUUCUCUUUGGUGGUGGAGGUGGAGGGGAGGGUGGUGGUGGUGAAGGUGGCGGAGGAGAUGGUGGCGGAGGUGAUGGUGGUGGGGGUGAUCUUCUGUUGGGUAAUGGCGGGAAAUGUGGAGGUCUGAUUAUUGGUGGUAAUGGUUUAAUGGGCGGUGGCAAACGCCGCGGUGGCGAGGGAAUUAUUUUAGCAUUGGCAUUUGCCACAAAGAUGGCGAAAAUUGCCAGGAGUUUCCACAGCGAAGCUAUGUGGCUCGCCAUGGUUGCUAAAAAGAUGUAUUUGCUGUCGACUGACUCACUUGUGGAGUUGAUGGUUCUGUGAUCGAUGGUUUAUAUAGAUGAUGAUUGGAAAUGACACCUUGCUGGUGAAUGGGGGAGGAAUAUGCAAGCUGCGUAGCUACAAAAUAUAGGCACGCAUGCAAAUUAAUCAAGUGCUAAAUCUGGCUUUGGGGUUUGGUAAGCCUACCAUAGACUAGAUGGUAAAACGGAAUUGAUCCGUACCAACUUGAAUAUUAAUUAGUUUCGUUUUAAAAGUACGUGCCAAACUUGAAUUAAUUGCUCUUGUUUUAGAAGUUAGCCUUAUUUGGCUUAAACACUAUGCAUUACAAAAAUAGGAGUGAAACUUUGGAAACACAUAAAAUAUCACAAAUCUUAGAUUAGGGAGUAUAUGUUUUAUUAAAACUUUGCGAAACGUAAACAAUUCAUUGAAUCUUUUUUAAAAAAAUGUUAUUGACCUCCAAAAGUUGACAAUAGAAAAUACCGAAACUGGAAGAUUAUAAUGAAAAGAGAGAUUUAACGCUUUUGUUAUUGUAAUGUUAUUAUACUGAAAUAUCGAUUUUCUUUUAAUGUUGGUGAACGAUCUCAUUUUAUUUCUCAUUAAAUUACCCAAACAUGUCCUUAAGUGCAACAAAAUCUUCAAAAUAAAGCCCUAUUUCCAUUUUCUACAUUGUUUUCCAGCUUAACGUUUGUUCAAGUCUGUUCCUUUUACUACGGCCACUUCUUUUUUUUCUUGUUUUACGUUUGGUCAUCGUUACUAAACGUUGUCUGUAUUUACAUCAAAUAGAGAGUAUAAAUCCAAAUAUAAAAGUGAAUAUUGCCAGUAGCGUAGAUUAAGUUCUUAUAUUAGCCACUGCUCCCCUCUAUUAAUUCAAUUUUCACGCUAAUUUCGGAAUAGUUAAUACACACACAUACACACUAUAUAUGAGUGCGUGUAUGCAGAUGUGUGUGUAUAUGUACACAUAUAUGUAUUUAUGUAUAUGUAUAAAGAAAUCACUGAAUCUUCUAGACAGGACGAUGAAUUCUAUAAAAACUAGUGUAGGAUUCUUAAUCCUGUAUUGAUCUUUACAAUGUCCCUAAAAUCUAAAUAUUGUGCAAAGAAAAUAAAGAUAAAAUCUUAUUGCUGCCAAAAAAAAUGAAAUCUUAUAAAAAGAAGGAUGUGGAAUUUCAUGAUUACUAAAUUGGGAUCGAUCCUUCAUAUUGAUCCUGUUUAACUCUAAUGCUGAACCGAAAGGCGCUUAUGGGAUUCAUUUUCUGGAUUUAGGUGGGCUAAGAAGAUACACAAAGUAUAGAGGAGCAGAGAUAAUAAAUGUCCAGCUUUUUAUGUUGUGCAUGAAGCCGGGUAAUACAGGGUUAUCUACCAUGCUAGGCACAGGGCCUCUUUUUAGUUAGAAAACAAACAUCACUAAUAAGGAAAAAGGCAUUCACUUUUUGCUGAGAAUUAAACAAAAAAAAAAAUCCCCACAUUUUUUAGAGUUCUGAUUUCGCGGAGUUGAAUGUAGAUAAGGGGUAAGUGUCAAUGCCGUAAAAGUCUCAAUCUCCAACACUACUCUGAUCAUGAAUAUUCAUUGAAGUUAUAUAUGAUGAGACCUUGAAGAAUAAAAUUAGUGGUAACAUAGAUUAAUACGUCCACUGCUUGUAGAAUAAAAAUGGAGAAAAUUUAGAACAAUCCAUUGAGAUUUCUUGAAGUUUAGCAACAAAUAAUCCAUUGAGUGCCAUCCGACCUCAGUCCUCCAGUGUCUAAAAUUGGCAUUCAAAAACUUAGAAGUCUUGAUUUCGAAUUUGCUUUCCCCUUUUCCAUUCCACAAUAAUUUAGAAAAAAAUUCCAAAAAAUAAUGUUAAAACCCUAGAAAUUAGAGGUACUGAAUUCCAAUCCCCCGUCACCCUCUCACGUCUGGAAUCCCAAUCAUCUCACGGUUAAAAAAGAAAUCCAUUGAGUUUUUUUUUUUACAUUUUCUAUAUAUUUUCUCAAACACUUCCACUCUUAUUCAAAAAUAUUUAAGAACAAAAAAAAAAUCGUUUGCGCUAUUAGUUUUUUAUUAACAUUUCUUUAUUCUUCUUUAAUUUCCAAAAAAGUUUUCAAACCUGUUUGCUGCCGGUACUUGAGCUUUUUCAAAGUUUCAUUUGUCUCACGUACUAUACUAUUUUCUUUUUGUAUGUGAAUGUAGCGCACAGCUCACUUGCAAUUUCCAUCUCUUUUAGCCGGCUUUUUUGGUGUUCAGUGAGUAAAUUAACAUGAAAAACAAUAUAACAAGACGAAAGAGUAUUUUGGAAAAAUUUUGUGACCUGUGACCGAUUUUACCCUUUAUUAUAUAAAUUUUGGCGGUCUUAUGCAAAGAGGAUAUGCGAGAGUAGAAUAAACAGUCCCCACCACUUAAUUUAUAGUGUAGUUGGGCAAAAAAUUGGAUAGAAAGAGAGUUUGUAAGAAGACAAAUAAAAGAAAUGAGGAGUGGAUUGGUAACUCAAAUUUUUCUUUCUUCUAACUGAAUUUUUUUAUCUCUUUAAUAAAGAAAGGCGAGUUAAGUCACCUUAAAAAAAAAAAAAAAAAAAGAGUUAAGCCACCUAUAAUUGUUCCAUUAGGUCAUAAAAAAAAUGCAUCAAAAUCAAUAAUUUGGCAUUUAGAUGCUAAGCUUGAAAUCAAAACGGACUGUCUACAGUAGUAAGCGAUGUUAGGCAAGAUACCGCUAAUAGGUUGGGCUAUGUACUAAAAAUAUAUACGUAUGUAUACAAAACAGAUCAAGCAUUAUCCACAUUUUAGUAAUGGUAAUAAAUAAUCAAUAUAAGUGUAUAUAAAGUAGAAAAUUAAUAAAUUGAAAUUUACAAUAAAUAAGAAAGUAUAGACUAAUAGAAACAAAUGAAAGCUUUUCCAAAUUUUAGUAGUGGUAAUAAAUUAUCAAUUUAAUAAUAGUGAUAGAGAAUGCAGUUGUAGGGAAUUAAAAUACGAAAGAUAUUGAAAAAAUAAAUUAAGUAAUAAAUUAUAAAAACAUAUAUAAAAUAGGUAAUUGAUAGAUUUUUUAUAUUUACUAUAAAUAAGGGAUAAAAAGGACUGUAAUUUAUUGUUAUAAAAUAUAGAUACAGAAUAAAAUCCACCUAGAAACAUAAGCAAACACUUUUUUUUUUCACAAAGCAAAAUGAUAAAAUUUUUAUUUCACAAAAUAUAGAUAAUUUACGAACUUACCAAAAUGGGAAGUGGAUAGCAAAUUAAUAUAUAUGUCUACGUGUUAUAUAUAUAUAUAUGUAUGUAUAUGUAUUUGUGUGUGAAUCUUCUAAAGAUAAAGGUGCAGAGAAAAACUAUCUACGUGAGCAUUAAUGCAGUAUUUUUUGUCCAAAUUUUAGUAAUAGUAAUAAAAAAAUCAAACCAACAUUAGGAAUAAAGAGUGUAAUUGAAAAUGAUUAGGAAAGGAAAGAUAUGAGUUGAUUGACAGAAAAAUAGAGAGGAUAAAUUUAUAUAAAUUUAUGUAAGGUGGGUCAUUAAUAAGAAACUGACUAUAAAUAAGAAAUCAUGCUACGAAUGAAUUAAAAAAAGGAAAUUAAUUAUUAACAAAAAAUAGAAAAAGAAUGAAAGAUCACAAACAUUAAUGACGUCCACAUGGCGAAAAGAUAGAUAGUCCACUCGCAAGAUUAAAGUAAUCAACUUAGCAACCUAUCAAAAUCAAAACUGAAAACUGUUUUAUAAUACAUAUACAUAAACAUACAUACACACAUACACAUACAUACAUACAUACAUACAUACAUAUGUAGACACCAAAAUUUUUAUGAAUCAUCUUAUUAUUUAUUUUUGUUUAUCUCUACUUUCUAGUUUUUAAGAAAAAUCAUUUUAAUCUUGUUUGAUUUUUAUUUGAUUGUUUUUGUAAAAAAAAAAUCUGGGAUCCACGCACGUGGGAUCUCUUUCUUCUCCUACAUUUUGUACCAGAAACCAGAACAAGAGGUAGUUGGCAUUUUUGGAGCGAAUUUUGUUUCGAUUUUUCUAUCUUUCCUUUGUUUCCUAAGCAUUAUCAGUACAAUGCCAUCUCACCCAUCAAGAUUCAUCAAGAAAAUUCUGGAAGAAAGCCAUCAAAUGCCUCAAAAAACCUGCAGCAAAAAAAAAAGGGUUUCAUCCGCACCUUUGAACAUAAGGUUUUGGCAACUCUACUUCAUAUAAAAGGGCUAAGGAGGCAUUUCUGAACGGAAGGAGAGAGGAAAAAGAGCGGUGGGGAAACAGAAAGAAAGAGAAAUGGGAGACUGGGAGAGAGAGCAGAAAAUUUCUUAAAAAUCUUGAGCCAGGGUUGAGCAUUAUGCCUUUUUCUUGACCAAAAUCCGAUCUUGAUUCUAGUCAUUUAGGUGUUUUUUUUUUUUUUCAUUUUGCACCAUCUGCCUUAGUUGAGAGACAAAUUUUGUUCAGAAAACCUUUAGAGAAAACGCCUCCAAGAUUGUUGAAUUCGGGCUUGAAGUCACUGCAUCGUCAGCCCUUGAAGUCAAUUUCUAGGAGUUUUCAACUUCACCUUCCUGCACUUGGAUUCAUUUUUCUUCGAGGUUCAUCGUACCUACUCGUCAUAGGUAGUUCAUUUUACUCCUUUCCUCUUCAUAUAAGCAUAGAUCCUCACCCAAUCUAUCAAAAUUUUACUGCAUUUGUUCUUCCUUUCUCUUCUUUUGAUGUUCUUCUCCUCUUUUGUAAACCAUUAGCUCAGGUUUCUAUUAUAAUCUUAUGUUAAAUAUGGUAUUUGGGUAAUAAAGGUGGGUGUUGAUGAUGAGGUUGCAUGACCUUAUGUGUUUUGAAUCCAAAUUUUUUUUGGAAAUCGUUUGGGGACGGUUGCUGCGUUUGAUUGGCUGCAAAUGUUGCAACAAAGCUUCGAACAGCUUGCAUGGAGAAAAAUCCAAAAUUGCAAUUUGGCCCACCGACUUUUAAACAAUUGCGUUAAGGCCCAAAAUUUUGGAAAAAAUGAAUCAAAAUUUUCCUUUUCAAACCUUGAUCCUCUUUUCAUAUUUUAUGUAUGUUUUGAGAAAAUUAUUUUUGGGUUUUAGAGUGUGAUUAAGGUCUAAAUAAUUUUGUUGAAUUUGUUUUCCUAAAAGGACAUGUUCUUUUCUUCCUUGGGUUUAGGAAAAUAGUUUAAGAGUUGGGUUAGGGUUAUUUUGUUGGGCUUGGGGAGUGAGUUUGUUUUUAUUUUUCUUUGGGUUAUGAUAUGGGCUUUAUGACCAGGCCUAACGUUUUUUGGUUGGAUCAAAAAAUGGGCUAGGUGGUCCUUUUAUCUGGAUUUUUCUUUGGGCCAAGGUGGUUUUCGCCCCAAGAAGAAGAAAAAAAUGGCCCGUUGGCCUUUCCUUUUAAGAAACUAGAGACAGAUUUUUCAGUUUAGUCACUGAUCUUUCAAAUUAUUUUAAUGUAACCUUAACAACUUUGGAUUUCUUUCAAUUAGGUCCUUAAUUUAAAUUUAAUUUGGUCCCUAAACUUUAUCUUUUAUUUACUUUUGACCCCUAAUCUUUGUAAGAAUUAUAAUUUGAUUUCAAAAACUUUUAAAGUUUUUGUAAUUGGGUCCCUGACAGCUUGAUUUCUUAAGUAUAAUUUGUUUAUCUUCAUUAAUUGUUAAUCAUGCCUCAUUUAAAUGCAUUUAAUUAGUAAAUUUUAGGGAUUUUAUAUUUAUUUGUAUUCCUUUAUAGUAAUAAAGCAAAUUUGUUAUAUGUUUACACUUUCUUUUAAAUUGUUAAUUAAAUUGGUGUCUUGAAUAUUGUGUUGGUUUUGGAGUAUAAAUAAGGCAAAUUCCACCUCAUUUAACUACUACUUCAAGAGAGGUACUUUCUAUUAUUAUUUUAAAUCUUUUUAUGUGCUCCUAUGUAUUUUUUAUCUGUGAUUGCAUGUUUUAAGUGCUUUUUCUUGUAUUUACUCAUUUAAAAUUUUUAUUUAUUAUAUUUAAUUUUUGAUGAUUAUUUGGAGGGCAUUUAAAUGCCAAAUUGUAAUAGAUAAAUGCUGAAAAAUGUAUUUAGUUAGGCUAUGUAAUAGAUAGAUUUUAUUUUUGCCAAAAAACAUAAUUAGUUAGAUGAAUGUAAUAGUUACAUUAUUAUUUUUCAAAUUCCCUCCUUAGAUUGUAGUUAGGACCCCAAAUAUAAUAGUUAGGUGUUUAUAUGCUUUUAUUUGCUUGUGUGCUUGCAUGCUUAUGUGCUUAUAUGUUUAUUUAUUUUUUUAGGAUUUUACAUCUAAAUAUCAUGUUUAAGUGUUAUGUGCUCUAUGUGCUUUAUGUGUUUAUUUGAUUUAAUAAUAUUUUAUAUGUUUUAUUUAUUUAUAAUCAGUGCAUGACGACAUCACACUAAUCCAAUGCUAGUUGUGACCUUUCUCCCCAUUUUCUUACUAGUCCAAUAUUAGUGAGGACUUGUAGGAAUAGGUUAGUCCAAUGGUAGACCCUUUAGUCCGUUUUCGCGCUAAAUUCAUACAUUGUGUGGCAUUUAUUACAUUUCAUGCAUUUUUCCUAUUUUUAGGUUAUUUUCAUUUUAUGAUAUUUUUCCUACUUUUAUUCCCUUACCCUCUAUAUGUUUGGACCAUAUCAUAUAAAAUUAUAUUUCACUUUAAGAAAUUAGAAAUAGAUUAGUCCAUUUGUUUGACUAGAUUGAAAGAGUCACCCUUCAAAUAUGGGAAACGAACGAGUAUGACUUCUUAACCUUAACACGCUCUUAUUCCCUUUAUAAAAAGAAAAAUUGAGUCACGAAUUUUAACAUCCUGUACCUGUUAUGUUGCAUUACCCCUUUUCUAGAUCAUGUAUAUUUAUCUAUAUAUUAUAAUUUCUUUUUGAGUCUUAUCUUUUGUAUUUUUCGUGACCUCUUCUAAGAAUAAUUCUUGGGCAUCACAAUUAAUGUGAUUUAUACCAAUUAAAUUUUAAAGAGACAUUUCGACCUUCCCGAUAUCCUUUUAGUCUAGAUUUGCAUCCAUGUAGAAACAUCCAAAUGUGAUAAGUUUUAUAAAUUAGAUUAGGAAAAUUUUUGACUAAAUCUCACAAUUAGUCUUGGUUAGAUUGAAAGGGUACCUUAAGUUUGAAUCUAUCAAAUUUUUGUCUUUCCUUUCUUCAACUGUAACUCCCGAACUUUUUUCUUUUGUUUUCAAAGAUCUGGAGUCGUCUAAAAGGGAUUCUAUUUGUUUAUUUAAAAAAUAUAUUUUAGUUAAUUUGGUACACCUAAACUCAAUAUCAAAUGAUGACUCUACUUUUUUUUUUUCUAAAAAUACUUUUUAAAACUAUUAUUUUGGGUACAAACCGUUGCAUUUUCUAAAUCUCAUUUUAGGCCCUUCUUUUUCCUUUAUUUUCUAAAAAUAUAAAUUCAUUUUUUCAACACUAAAUUUAUUUUUCAAAAAAUAAGGGCAUGACAUUUGAUGACUCCACUGGAAAUUUUAGUGAAUCCAAGCACUUGGUUUAAUUGAUUUUUUUCUUCUAAUCUUUUUACAUAUCACAUUGGGGUGUUUUAGAUUGCAUUUUUCUUUUUCUUCUUCUUUUUCUUUUAUGGGAUCAAUGGCCCUUCACCUUUUAGUCUGAAGGUUUGGGAGUGUGAAACUUUAUUGAGUGUAGAUGCAUUAACGAGUUCAAUUUCAUGCAUCUAUGUUAGAAAUCUCCUAGAAUAGAGUCGGCCUUACCCUAUUAGAAAUAUUAGACACAAGGGGGGAGAUUCUACCCCUGUUUCUCUUCUUUAUCUUUUAUUCCUGUAUCAUUUUAUUGCUCCAACGUGUUAUAUGAACUAACCUCUGUUUGUUUUCUCUUCUCUUGCAUUCAUAAACUUUAAAAAUAAGAGUUCUGACAUGGUACUCGUUUAGGACAGACCGCCUUUUAUAAAAAACAUGUUUAAAUUUUAGUUAUUGCAUUAAUAAUACGUAUAUAUUGCAUAUCAUUUUAGUCUUACCCCCGACAUUUAAAUGGGACACCUUUAGGUCAUAUUCCAAUUAUCGUAUUUUAUAUUUACUUGUUUUAAUAAACUGUCAUCAUGCAUCAACUAUAGAGAGAAUGCCGCAUAAGGGAUCCCAUGAUAGAAAUAAGCCAUCUUGUGUCUCAAAUAUCUAAUCCAGUGAGACUCGUAUGUUUAUAAUUUUAUACUUCCUAAGGGGUAAAAUCCCAAAAUAAGGUAUAAAAAAGUGAAUUUUUUCCAAAUAGUUCCUUGUAGAGUGCUAGAUCAAAUAUCUCGAGAACUAAUCGAUUGAAAAAAUAAUGUCGCAUGAGAUGAAAAAAUUGUUCAAGUAUGUGGGGUACCUACCAAGUCUUCUGAACAUGAUGUUUAAUGUUGCAAUCAUCCAAACUCUACUUGAGUAUUGGGAUCCAGAGGGUUCGAUUUUUUGGUUUGGUGAAUGUGAACUGACAUUGACUUUGAAAAAAAUAGAAGAACUAUUGCAAGUACCAAAAAAGGUCAUCCUAUUGUGUACCCAAUUGGUAGAACGAGAGAGUAGUUUUGUAGAUUUUUGGAAUUGAGGCAAAAUAGCAUGGACCGACAUCCGGAUGCAAAAUCAUACCCGUUAGAGUUCCUAUAUAAGCGAUUUAGGCAAAGGGAAUCCUAUGAACAGUGCCACACUGAUUUCUUCAUAAGGAACAAUAGGAAGAGAAGCGUGCUCAAGCAUUUGGAUUAGUUUUGAUCAAUUUGUUAUUGUUCCCGCAAAGGCAUGGAAAGGUCACUUUCUCAACUAUCAACAUGAUUCAGAACCUCUUUUGGGAGUCAACUGAAAGACACCCACUUUGGUACCGGUUAUCAUAGCUGACAUUUUCACUACCUUACUAAAUAUCAAAAGAAAAAGGGGUUCUUCUAUGCAUCAAAUUUAAUACUUCAAAUAUGGGUAAUGGAGCAUCUAGCGAAAAGGACGCUCAAACCCUUGGGAUGUUGUCUCCCAACAGAGAAUUGGAUUGAAUCACACCGAGAAAGGGUCAAAAUGUAUUACCGAAUGACAUCUCCAAGUCAGUUUAUUUAAGAGUUUGAUAAUUUGACACCGGAUAAAGUACAAUGAAUUUUGGAUUGGACAAAAGUUAGGUAUUCGACAUUCAAAACUACUCAACAUAGUUUUAUUCCUCUGGCAGGCACCAAUGGAUUGGUUUCAUAUAUUCCACAACAAGUCAUGAGGCAAUUUGGCUAUCCACAAAGAGUUUCGAUGAUACAAGAAAUUGAGAAUAUCAGAUUCAACACAAUUGCUGAGAGUCGAAGCAUGGCACUAGAAGUUUGGGGGAAUUUUCAUGAUUUAGAAAACCUGUACUUGGAUCAAGUGAACAAAUUAAAACCUAAUAUCAUUUCAGAAUAUGAUAAAUGGAUCAAGCUGAAAGUGGAACGAGAAAGAAGGAAGUCACAAUCUUCUCCCACCAGUCUUGAAGAGCAAAUACAGAAGUUAAGGAAGGAGUUAGAGAAUUAUUAAUUGCAAAAUUUAAUGACCGAUCAUGCUUUGAAAGAUGUCAGAUCGUAAUUAAAGAAAGAGACAAGAAAAAUUGAAAAGUUAGAGAGAGCAUUAGAUGCAUUUGAUAAAAUUCGAAAAGAAAUUUGAAAAUUUAGUGUAGGAAUCUCUAGGGAGUCUCAACAUAUUAGUUUAGCAAGGUAUGGAAAUUUUUAAAAAUAGUCAGCUAAACCAUCAAUGUAACUGUAAAGAAUGAUUAAAUUUAUCAAUGUUUUAUGAGAUUUUCUAUUCUGAUUUUUACAUUCACCUACAAAUUUGAUAUUGAAAUUUUACCUCGAAGGAGUUGCAUCAUAUUAGACCAAUCCUUGGCAUAAAAAGAGUUUCUCUAUAGGACAUGCAUCUAAAAUUAUUCAAAUAUUUACUAAUCCAUGUCUUUUUCUUUUUUUUUUCUUUUGAACAAAUUACAGCAGUAGAAAAUGUACUUCUGAGCCGAUUUCUUUUCCUUAUUUUUAGGUACUUGCAAACAUAGCUACCUUAGGAGCCCCAUCAUUACGCGGUCCCAUAGCAAAGUCUUGAGAAAUCGUGAAAAAAUGAGUUUUCAUCCGUAGCUGUCGGACAAAUCUGCAAUAAUUCCAUCAUUAGACGCUGCAAAUCUGAGGGUUCAAUCGACUGAAAUGUUGAAUAGAUUCAAUGAGUUAAGUGCAGCAAUGGCAGCGCAAAAGCGCAUGAUCAAUCAAUUGUUCUCAAACAACACUAGCAGUGUCCAAAAUGACCAUAUACUCAUUGACGAUAAUCAACAUUAGUUAGAAAACUAACCACCUCACAUGUCACAUAGUCAAAUCACUUUUGUCCCACCUUUUAUAAGUCCACUUGGAGGUGCCUUUACUUACCUCAUCCCCAGUUUAUCACAUACAUAUCAAAAUAAUAUUUUUGUCAACCCAACUAACAAUCAAAUUUCUCAAAAUUACCCACAAAUCAACUUGAAUAUCCCAUCUAACUCUCAAAGAUCCCAUCAUCCCAUCAUAGAGUCAUUCAUGUUGGAUACUACCUUUCAAGGAAGGGCAGAAAUAGACGAACACUCUACUUCAAUUAAUAAGAAUUUACUGAAAAGAUUGGAUCGAUUUGAUGAAUUCAUGAAAAGAAGUCAGAGAUUGAAGCAUGGAAGCUUGGACUAUGAUGAACUGUGUCUCUUUCCGGAUAUGUAGUUGUCUCUAAGUUUUAAAACUCCUAAAUGUAGUAAGUAUAAUGGAACUGAAAAUCUCAAAAUACAUCUCUAAAUGUUUGUGAACAAGUUAGGGAAGCUAGUGGAUGAUGAAAACCUACCGGUGCUUUUGUUUCCUGAAAGUUUGGAGGGCGACGCUUUGGACUGGUAUUCCAAUUUAAAGAUUGAAGAGAUGAAAACUUAGAUGGAUUUGUCUACAACUUUUGUGAGGCAAUAUGAGUACAACUGUGAACUUGAGCCGACAAGAACAACGCUCGAAGGAACUAUGAGAAAAUCAUCAGAAGAUCAUAAGACAUAUGCUAAACGUUGAAAGAAAUUGAUUGUCAAGGUUGAACCCCCUAUGACUGAGGAGGAGAUUAUCCACACAUUCAUUAAAGCACAUGACCCACUUUACUUUGAAGAGAUUUUUCGUAUGACUAGGUAUUCAAUUGCUGCUAUUGUCAACAAAUUUGAAGAAUUUGAUAAGUUUGUCAAAGAAGAAAACAUAGUUAACAUGUCAACGUUAAAAAUGCAAUUGGAAGCCCUACAGAGCCAAAAUAAUCCUGGAAAGAAGCCUCAAUUCAAGAAAAAAUGAGAGACUACCUUUGUAUGUGAUCAGGGCCCCUCAACUAGAUCCAGAUUUUAAAAUCACCCCACCUACUCAUCUCCCUAUCCAUACUAUCCAAAUCCCCAACCUGUUUAUCACACUACCAUCAACCAUUCUCGCCCCCAACCAAACUAUCAAGCACACCUGCAUUACCUUUUUAGAUUUUUUGAACUAAACUGGCAAAUUCGACCCCAACCCUCUUAUAAUCCAAGGCCUACUCUAUCAAAUAACCAAAUCUAUAACCAUGCUCAAACUAGUAGAUCCCAAAUCCAAAACGAGUUUCAAACCUUCACUAAUUUAAGCUGCUUUUCCGAUCAAUUGUAUGAACAACUUAAAGCUACUAGCAAAGUCAGCAUUGUGCCUCCUAAAAUAUAGCUUAGCAGUGUUCCUAUCGGUUAUGAUUCUCAAAUCAUUUGCGCCUAUCAUUCUAGGAGUUCUGGUUACUCUACUAUCAAUUGUUGGGCAUUGAAACACAAAAUUCAAGACAUGAUUGAUGCCGAAAAUAUAGUUUUGAGGAGGAGAGGUGAAUAAGAGACAAAUGUCAGCAAGAAUCCUCUUGCUCAACAUAAGAGCACUGUGAGGGCUAUUACCACUGACCAGAAGUUUGAAAAACCUGCCCAAUAUAUUAUAGACGAGAAUGAUGUAAUUCAAAUAAUUGAGAAGUCAUUUAUAUUGGAAGAUGAACUUUUCGAAACUAGUGAAAAUCCUUUCAUCCUAGACUUGUCGGAACUUGUGAUACUUGAAUUUUUUGAACAAUCACUUGUUCACAACUUACAAGAAGUACCAUGGGAUUAUAAUGAACCUACCCUAGUGAUUGGGAAUGUAGGGGUGUCAACGGUGGAGGUGGCUGCCGUCACUGGAUUUGAAAAAAUCGUGGAUAAUUCUGAAGUUUCUGUCCAACCAAAGGUGAAGAAGAAUGCUUUACCGUUGAAGCCAUCGGUGAUUGAGGAGAAUGCACUGAAUUUUCUCAAGUUACUGACGAGGAGCGAGUACAAGGCCAUAGAACAAUUGGACAAAAUAUCUGCCCAAGUCUCUAUGCUGGACUUACUUUUAACUUUCAAAUUACAUAGGGAGACACUGUUUAGAGUUUUGAAUGAGACUCAAAUACUAAGAAAUAUUUCAAUCGAUAAAUUCGCUAACAAUAUGGAGAAUGUUUUGGUUUUCAACUACAUAACUUUUUCUGAUGAGGAUCUGACUUUGAAGGGGAUCAAGCAUAAUAAGGCGUUGUAUAUUUUAAUAUGGUAUAAUAGAAAGUUGGUGUCCAGAGUUCUGGUAGAUAAUGGAUUUGUUUUGAAUAUUUGCCCCUGAAAUACUCUUACAAAGCUUGGAUUUCUUGAUGCCAGAUUGCGAUCAUCUGCGACAAUGGUGAGAGGAUUUGAUGGUGUAAUAAGGGAAUCAAUGGGUAAGGUUGAUUUGGUGUUGGAAAUAGGACCUGCCAAAUUUCAAGUGGUUUGCCAAGUUAUGGACUCUUCAAGUGUUUACAACAUCCUAUUUGGAUGACCUUGGAUCUACACUUCUAGUGUUGUUCUAUCUUCUCUCUAUCAAAAGGUGAAAUUCAUUAUGAAUGAUCAACUAAUCAAUGUGUUCACUGAAGAUGAUUACACAAUGAUCGUCAAUUCUGCAUCAAAUGAGGAGAAUAGUAAAAAAACUUUAGUUUCUUCUCAUCAUAUUGCUGACAUUGUUUCAGUAGGGUGGAUGUCUAAAGAAAAUUCAUUGAUGAAAAUGGGUUUACUGGAAGCUAGUGCCAUGAUGGCCAAGAAAAUGAUCCGAGAAGGGUAUGAAAUAGGUAAAGGUUUGGGGCAGAAUCUGCAAGGUAUCUUGGAACCGAUAGAGAUUUUGAGGAAGAAAGAUACAUUUGGAUUGGAAUUUCAACCAACCACUAAGGAUAAAAAUGAGAUGCAAGCUGGUAAGAAAGUGAACAAGGAAGAAAAGCAGAUCGUCAUGAGGAGAACCCGAUUGAGGAGAUUGAAGUGGGUCUAUCUCAACUGUUCAUUGGAGCCACUUGCGAGAAAGAGCCGCUAGAAGAUAUGGAGUUCCAAUAGUCCCUGAAAGAGCUAUAUAAAAUUGGACUACCGACUAUCUUCCCUCUCGAAAGGAAUUUUUAUGGAUAAAAAUAAAAUCAUUUGAAUCUUCAAAUAUCACCAUUUUGUAAUUCAAUAAUUGCAAACUCGAUAUAUUUCACAAAUUUAAAAUUAUAGAAUUCGAAAUUCAAAGUGAGAGUGAUAGCGAGUAGGAACCAGUCUUUUUUAAAGAUUCUUGAACAAUAUGAAGAGAAAUCCAAACCGAAUUUAGUAGAGAUAGAAAUCAUUAACAUUGGCACUAAAGCGGAGGUUAAAGAAAUUAAAAUUAGUGUACAUUUGAAUAAGAAGUAGAGAAAAGAGAUGAUCAAAUUCUUAACUAUAUUCCAAGACAUAUUUGCAUGGUCGUAUGAUGAUAUGCCUAGGAUUUCAAUAGAUAUAGUGGUACACAGACAGCCAACUAACCCAAAAUUUUCACUAGUAAAGCAAAAAUCGUACAAAUUUAAACCAAAUGUAAGUCUCAAAAUUAAGGAGCAGAUCGAUAAACAGUUCAAUGCCAGAAUUACCAUAGUACCUCAUUAUUGCAUUUGGCUUUCAAAUCCCAUACCUGUUUCGAAGAAGAGUGGAGAAGUGCAGGUCUGUGUUGAUUAUAGGGAUUUCAAUAAAGUCAAUCCAAAGGAUGAUUUUGCUCUACCUAAUAUUCACAUUCUUUUAGAUAACACUGCUGGACAUGAAAUUGAAUCUUUUGAUGAUUAUUUCACUAGAUAUCAUCAGAUUUUGAUAGCAGAAGAAGACAGAGAGAAGACUGGUUUCAUCAUUUCAUGGGGAACAUUCUGCUAUCAGAUAAUGUUGUUCGGGUUGAAAAAUACUGGAGUCACUUAUCAAUGAACCAUAAUCACUUUGUUCCAUGAUAUGAUUCACAAGGAGAUGGAGGUUUAAGUGGGCAAUAUUAUCAUUAAAUCCAAGAAAGUUGAAGACCAUCUGGUUGAUUUAAAGAAAUUAUCUAAAAGGUUGAGAAGAUACAGUUUAAAGUUGAAUCUUACAAAAUGUGCUUUUAAAACUUUCGUCAGUAAAUUGUUAGAGUUUAUUGUCAGUAAGAAGGGAAUGGAGAUUGAUCCUACAAAGAUCAAGGUAAUCAAUUUUUCGAGAGAUGUCCAUACCAAUAACUCAGAAAGAUGUGAAAAUUUUCCUAGGAAAUAUCAAUUUUAUCGACAGGUUCAUUACUCAGUUGAUGUCUACAUGUGAGACUUUGUUCAAACUAUUAAAGAAAAACGCGCCAAUGCACUAGAAUGAAAAAUGUCAAUAGGCUUUUGAUAAAAUUAAGGAUUAUUUGUUGAACCCUCCAGUUUUAGUGCAACCCAAGCCAGGUCGACUUCUAAUUAUGUAUCUGUCCAUGCUGGAUGAGGUUGUGAGAUGUGUUUUGGGACAAUAUGAUGAUUCGAAAAAAAAAGAGCAAACCAUCUAUUACCUUAGUAAGAAGUUCACCACAUAUGGGACCAAUUAUUCAUUUCUUAAGAGGAGUUGUUGUGCUUUAGUUUGGGCAGUUCAGAAGUUGAGGCACUACUUGCUCAUUUACAUUACUUAUCUCAUUUUUCGUUCCGACCCUCUGAAAUAUUUGUUGAAAAUGUCGAUGUCAACAGUACAUAUGGUGAAAUGGCAGAUGAUCUUUUUGAAAUUUGAUAUUAUUUUUACUAUGCAAAAGGUAAUUAAGUGGCAAGCCAUAACGGAUCAUUUGGCCGAAAAUUUGAGAGAAGAUGAUUACCAGCCAUUGUAUACAUAUUUUUUUGAUGAUGAGAUUUUAUCCAUUUAUGUAUCGAAGACUAUGAAUGAACAAUACCUUGGCUGGAGGCUGUUCUUUGAUGGUGCUUCAAACUUUUUUGGGACCGAAAUCGGAGCUGUUCUAGUGUCACCUGAGAGAAACCAUUACCCGGCCGCUGCUAAAUUGCGAUUUUCUUGCACCAAUAAUAUGGUUGAGUAUGAAACUUGUAUUUUUUGACUGAAAAUGGCAUUGAAAAUAAAGAUUUAUGAUUUAAUAGUGUUUAGUGAUUUUGACCUACUUGUGCAUCAAACACUUAAGCAAUGGGUGACUCGAGAUUUAAAAAUUAUGCCAUAUCAUUAUUGUCUGCUCAGCUUGGCUGAUAAGUUUAAAAAUUUGAAAUUCAGGCAUAUUCCUUGCACUCGCAAUGUUUUUACUGAUGUUCUGGCCACCUUAUCUUCCAUGAUUCGACAUCCGAAUGAGCUGGUAAUUGAGCCUAUACAAAUUCAACUUCAAAAAAAAAUCGGCGCAUUGUCUAGUUGCGGAAAAUGCGUCUGAUAGUCGUCCCUGGUAUAAUGAUAUCAAAGAAUUUAUAAAGACAAGAUCUUACCCUCCGCCUGUUGAUUCGGUUGCUAAAAGUUUUUUGCGCAGAAUGGCAUCAAAAUUCUUCUUAAGUGGAGAAGUGUUAUAUAAAAAAAAUAUCAUAUUUGGACCUUCUGAGAUGCAUUAAUAGAGAUGAAGCUGAUUAUAUGAUGAAAGAAGUACACAAUGGUGUAUGCAAACCAUACUUGAAUGGACGCUUAUUGGCAAAAAAGAUCAUGAGAACGGGCUAUUUUUGGCUCACUAUCGAGCAUGACUGUGUAGAUUUUAUCAAAAAAUGUGCUAAGUGUCAAAUAUAUGCUGAUGUCAUACAUGCUCUUUCUACAGAAUUACAUAGUAUGACUGCUCGUUGGCCAUACUCAAUGUGAAAAAUGGAUGUGAUUAAAGCUAUUGAUCCCCCAAUCUUGAAUGGGCAUCGAUUUAUCUUGAUGGCGAUUGAGUAUUUUAUCAAAUAGGUUGAAACAACUUCUUACAAGAAUGUAACCAAGAAAGUAGUGGCCAAUUUUCUGAGAGACCACAUUAUUUAUCGUUUUGGAUGUAGGAAAUAUUGAUUACUAACAAUGUGAGAAACUUUAAUAAUGACAUGAUAGAUGAAUUAUGUGAACAAUUCAAGAUCAAGUACUAAAAUUCUACUAUUAAUAGGGCUCAGAUUAAUGGAGCUGUGGAAGCCGUGAAAAAAACGUGAAGAAGAUCAUUUGCAAGAUGAGAGAAAGAUACCGAGAUUGGCACAAAAAGCUACCUUAUGUAUUAUUAACUUAUCGGACUGCAAUCAGGACUUUUAUUGGGGUAACGUCUUACUCUCUUAUGUAUGGAAUGUAAAUUGUAUUACCCCCAGAAGUUGAGAUCCUAUCAUUGUGCAUUUUAAUGAAAAUUUAGUUGGAGGAAGCUAAAUGGAUUAAGCAGUGACAUGAGUAGCUAUUUCUGAUUGAUGAAAAGCGAUUAAAUACUGUUUGUCAUGGACAAUGCUAUCAAAGGCAAAUGACUCAUGCUUACAACACAGAUCAAAUCUCACCUAUUUGAAGAAGGGGAUAAGGUACCGAAAUGAAUUCUUCCUAUUCAAGAUGAAGCCAAAGGAAAAUAUGUCUCAAAUUAGCAGGGACAUUUCAUUGUUAAGAAGGUAUUGCCCUGAGGAGCACUCAUUCUCAUGAAAAUGGACGGACGGAUUUUCCCUCAGCCAAUUAAUUCAGAUAUGUGCAAGAAAUUUUCAUCUGAUUAUAUAAGUUUUCUUUUUGAGAUACUGCUUAGGGUGGAUUAAAAGGUGGGCCAUCUUCUUUUCCCUUUAAACAUUUUACCCAUAGUUUUUUCUUUUGAACCUCCAAAAUGAUCUGCUUCUUCGUUUGAUAGCCCCCUAAAGAUCACAAACCCUACACUGCGACAGGUUUUGUUUUUCGUUUGUUGUAAAAAAAGUAAAGUGAAAGUACACAGAAAACAAAGGAAGAACAUGAAAAAACCCAAUCAAAAUUCAAACUAGGGCAAUUUUUAACUUUAUAGCCCUAUAUUGGGACAAAUUUUAUAGAAUGCGGUCCUUAGAUUUUUAAAACGCCUCAAAAGAUCUACUUUCGAGUCUUAACAUUUUUAACAUCUCACCUAACUCUGUUACAAAAGUCAAAAAACUCCCGACUUCCAUCCUUGAUAGUAUUUCUAAAAGAAAAUUUCUUAAUCAAAUGACAAAUGAUGUAAAUACACUUUCACCAAUUUUUGCAAAGGAAGUAUUUUCUCAUUGAUGCCAUCAAUCGUGAAACAUAUUUUGGAAUUGAUAAAAGCCAUUGUUAAAAACUGUUUAUUAGGUAAAAACUCAAAAGGACGCCUUUUUCAAAAAAAGAAGAAGAAAAAGCAAAAAAGAAAAAGCAAAAAAUAAUAAUGAAAAUAAUAAAGGAAAAGAAAAUAAAUGGAGAGGGACAAUCUUAGUGAAAACCCGAAAAAAGGCACUAAGGUAGGGUUUUGAAGUACAAAAAGAGCCAUGAAUGGAAAAUAGAUGGUCAAUUGUUGAAUAACUGGUGACUAUGUUCGUUUGGAUUUUUCUUCAAAUUUGUAUAUGAGUCUCCAAGUCACUUUUCGUAAACUUGAUAAGAGUUAUUUUCUCGUUGAAAAUCAUUUUUACUCUAUUUUUGUGUUGUUGCAUGCAAUAAUCUUGUUUAAAACUUUUGCGUGCUUUCUAUUGAAUUCGGCCAAGAGACAAUCCCCGUAAUUUAUUGUAAGGAGCGUAUAUCUAUGUAUAUCUCAUGGUGUAAAAAAGGUUGGCUGAGUACAAAUAUUAACAAAUCAGGAGCGAGUUGCACAACAUUUCUAAACCGCACAGUUCCUCGACAUCAAAAGGCUCAUGUUUACAUGAUUUUCAAGGCUUGAGGGACUGCACGGAGGUGGCAUUAUAUUUCAUCGCUGUUGUUUUCAUUUUCUUUUGUAAGAUUGGAUUGCGCAUGCUUUCUUGAAUGAAGAGAAAGAACAACACUUAUUUAGCUGAAUCCAAUCUACACUAAGGCAAAUUUUCGUAGAGCUGAUAUCUGAUUUUAUAAGUGAGUUCAAUAUUUGUUUAGAAAAAUAGCAAAAAUCUCUUCACAUCUUUAUUUAAUUGGAGUGCAUUUUUAUUUCUCCGUUUAUUUGUUGGGUUUGAGUUUUAUUCCACUAACCAUUUAUUUGUUAGGUUUGGAUUUUAUCCCAUUAAUCAUUUAUUUUGUUGAAUUUGGGUUUUAUCCCACUAACGAUUUAUUUUGUUGGGUUUGGAUUUCAUCGCACCAACCUGUUAUUUUAUUGGAUUUAGAUUUUAUCCCACAAUUUAUUUAUUUGUUAGGUUUGGAUUUUAUCCCAACGACCAUUUAUUUUUUGGAUUUGAAUUUUAUCCUACCAACUAUUUAUUUUGUUGGAUUUUGAUUUUAUCCCACCAGCCCUUUAUUUGUUAGAUUUAGGUUUUAUGUCAUCAACCGUUUAUUUUAUUGGGUUUGAGUUUUAUCCCACCAACUGUUUAUUUUGUUAGAUUUUAUCCCACUAACCGUUUAUUUUAUUGUGUUUGAGCUUUGUCCCACAAGUCAUUUAUUUGUUGGAUUUGAAUUUUAUCCCACCAACUAUUUAUUUAUUAGGUUUGGAUUUUAUCCCACCAACCAUUAUUUUGUUGGAUUUUGAUGUUAUUCCACCAACUGUUUAUUUUGUUGGAUUUGGAUUUUAUCCUAUCAACCUGUUAUUUUGUUGGGUUUGAAUUUUAUCUCACCAAUCGUUUACUUUAUUGGGUUUGAAUUGUAUCCCAAUUUUGUUGGAUUUGAAUUUUAUCUUACAAACUAUUAUUUUGUUGGGUUUGGAUUUUAUCCAUCAACCGUUUAUUUGUUCAAUUCGGAUUUUAUCCCACCAACCGUUUAUUUUGUUGGGCUUGAAUUUGGAUUUUAUCUCACCAAUCGUUUAUUUUGUUGGAUUUGAAUUUUAUCCCACCAGCCAUUUAUUUUGUUAUGUUUGGAUUUUAUCUCACCAACCAUUUAUUUGUUGAGUUCGAAUUUUAUCCUACUAACCAUUUAUUUGAUUGGGUUUGAAUUUUAUCUCACCAACCGUUUAUUUUGAUUGAAUUUGAAUUUUAUUCCACCAACUGUUUGUUUUGUUGGUUUUGGAUUUUAUCUCACCAACCUUUCAUUUUGUUGGGUUUGGAUUUACCCCACAAAUUAUUUAUUUUGUUGGAUUUGAAUUUUAUCCUACUACUUUGUUAGAUUUUACUAGUUGUUUGGAUUUGAAUUGUAUCUCACCGAUCAAUCUAGUUUUAAAAUAAUUUUACAAAUUUUUGCUAGUUGUUUGGGACUAGGUUAGAUCACACCGAUUAUGCUUACUAAUUCCAAUUUUGUUUAAAAAUUCACUUUAUUUGUCGAUUCAGUUGCAGUUGAAGCAAACGGGUAAGCAAUUUGGUAUCUACGUUUUUGUCUUAAAUUUCUGCAAAACUCAAGCAACGAAGGGUAAAUUGUAGAUACUAAAAUUUUUAUAAAUCAUCUUAUUAUUUAUUUUUGUUUAUCUCUAUUUUUACUUUUUAAGAAAUUAUUUUUAUCUCGUUUGAUUUUUAUUUGACUGUUUUCGUAAAAAACAAAAAAAUCUGGGAUUCCCGUGCGGGAUCUUCUUCUUCUCCUACAUUUUUGUACCAGAAACCAGUACAAGAGGCAGCUGGCAUUUUUGGAGCGAAUUUUGUUUCAAUUUUUCUGCCUUUCCUUUUUUUCCUAAGCAUUAUUAGUACAAUGCCAUCUCACCCACUCACCCAUCAAGAUUCAUCAAGAAAAUUCUGGAAGAAAGCCAUCAAACAAAAAACCUGUAGCAAAAAAAGGGUUUCAUCCGCACCUUUGAAAAUAGGGUUUUGGCAACUCUACUUAAUAAAAGGGUUAAGAAGGCAUUUCUUAAUGGAAGGAGAAGGGAAAAAGAGCAGCAGAGAAAUAGAAAGAGAGAGAAAGGGGAGAACGGGAGAGAGCAAAAAAGGAGGAGAGCAGAAAAUUUCUUAAAAAUCUUGAACUAGGGUUGAGCGUUCUGCCUUCUUCUGGACCAAAAUCCGAUCUCGAUUCUAGUCAUUUAGGUGUUGUUUUUCAUUCUGCACCACCUACAUUAGUUGUGAGACAAAUUUUGUUCAAAAAACCUUCAGGAGAAAAUGCCUCUAAGAUUGUUGAAUUCGAGGUUGAAGUUACUGCAUCGUCAAUCCUUGAAGUCAGUUUCAGGGAGCUUUUAGCUUCACCUUCCUACACUUGGAUUCAUUUUUCUUCGAGAUUCACUGUAUCUACUCGUCAAAGGUAGUUCAUUUUACUCAUUUCCUCUUCAUAUAAGCAUAGAUCCUCACCCAAUCUGUCAAAAUGUUGCUGCACUUGUUCUUCCUUUCUCUUCUUUUGAUGUUUUUCUUUUCUGUUUUGUAAACCAUUAGCUCAGGUUUUUGUUAUAAUCUUGUGUUAAAUAUGCUAUUUGGGUAAUAAAGUUGGGUGUUGAUGAUGAGGUUGCAUAACGUUAUGUGUUUUGAAUCCACAUUUUUUUGGAAAUCAUUUGGGGAUGAUUGCUGCAUUUGAUGGGUUGCAACAGCUUGCAUGGAGAAAAAUCUGAAAUUGCAAUUUGGCCCCCUGACUUUUGAACAAUUGCGUUAAGGACCAAAAAUUUGUGAAAAAUGAAUCAAAAUUUUCCUUUUCAAACCUUGAUCCUCUUUUGCAUAUUUUAUGUGUGUUUUGAGUAAAUUAUUUCUGGGGUUUAGGAUGUGAUUAAGGAUUAAAUAAAUUUUUUGAAUUUAUUUUCCUAAAAAGGCAUGUUCUUUUCUUCUUUGGGUUUAUGAAAAUAGAGUGAGUUUGAAUUUAUUUUUCUUUGGGUUAUGGCAUGGACUUUGUGACCAAAGCCCAAUAUUUUCUGGUUGGAUCCGAAAAUGGGCUUGCUCGUCCUUUUCUCUGGAUUUUCUUUGGACCAAGGUGGUUUUCGGCCCAAGAAGAAGAAAAAAAAUGGCCCGUUGGCAUUUCCAUUGACGGGUUUUUAUUAUACGUACAAGUUAAAAUCCGAUUUACACCCGUUUGACUGCAAGUAUACAGGUCAAAUUAGUAGUUUAGGGCGUGUAUUGGGUCGAUCCCACGAGAAAGAUUGAACAAUUACCGGUGUUACUAAAACUUCUCUAUUAUUUAGACUAUCAAUGAAUUAUAACAAGUAAAACCUACUGAACUUAUACAAGAAAAUAAUAAUUGAAGCUCCUUAGGUUAUGGUAUCCCUAACUACUCAUGCAAGUGCUAUAUUUGGACCACUGAUUACUACUAUCUUGGCUAGCUAUGGUGUAAUUUUCAUAUGCAUAUGAAUUCUACUUUCGUAGUGAAUCAAUUAUACUCAUAAAUAAUCCAUACGUAUUCUCAUGGUUAUGAGAUUAGUUACAAGUUCAUUUCUUCAAUGAAAUUACAUGAAAUGAAUCAUUAAAACCAUAUAGAUGUACCUUUACUCUCUUGAGUGUACUCUCCAUGUUUAGCACUUCUUGAAUUAGUGUUAAAUCUCAAUUUUCAUUGCAGAUAUAACACCUUAGAUAAUCACAAUCAAUGGUACCAGAUUAAUUAUAAUUCAAAGAGGUAAAGUGCUAAAUAGCUUGCUCAAAAUAAUGGCAUCAAACAGCCAAAUAAUAACACUAGUAAUCAUAGAAAAUUCAAUCAAACCCAAGGCAUAAACUUUAGAAACACAUAAUAACAUAUAAAUCCAUAACUUGUAUAUUAACUAAACUUAGAAUUAAGUACAAAAGAUAAAAAGUUGGAAAGAAAAAGUAACCCUUGUCACAUGAGCUCUUUCCUUGCCUUCUUCAUCUCCUUCUUCAUCUUUGCCUAGCUAAAAAACAAGAAGGAUGAACUACUACUCUCUACUAAACUAAUCUAACACUCACAAGAUGUAAGAACUACAUUUCUGCACUCCCAAGUUUUCUCCCGUCUGUCCCUCCCUCAAUCUUGCAAGUUUUUGGCUAUAUAAAGGUAAAAGGUGGUCAAGGAAUGAGGUUUACACCUCCCUUUUAUAGCUGCAAAAUAUUUGUCACAUGUCUAGCAUUACAUGUGACUUAUUGGAGGUGAAAUCAAGUUGUCCGCAUAAAGAGCAGCGUUUUCUUACCACAAUCCGGCCAAGUUCCGGCUGGAUUGCUACAGUGACCUUUUUGUGCAAUUUCUGUUCAAUUUCCAGCUCUGCUCAGAUUUUGCCUCAACUUCAACUGAAUUUUUCUUGAUGAUAGAAGCUGAUUUAACUCUUGACCAAAACAUAAAACUUGUAGCUCUUUAAGUUAGCUUUCCAAUGCCUCAAGAAUCACCUCAUUUGGAUUUGUGUAGGAUAAGAAAUGUCUGAAAUACCCUUGACUGCUCAAUGUCCUGUUUCAGUUUCGACUAAUAGAAAUUAGCUACUGUAAUUCGGCUUUUUGACCUAGAAAACCUUUAAACUGGAUUUCGAUGUCUUCACCAAAGUUGUAGGUCUAUCUCUUAUCUUCAAAUUGAUUUAAGAAUCAUCUCAAUCUGAUCACUGUAACUCAAGUUAUAGCCGAAAUACUAAAAUAUGUCAAAACUGUCAAAAAUGCACAAAAUGCAAGUAAAAAGUGAUAAAUACCUCAUUUAAUCACUUAAGAACAUUUUUCCUAAAUUAUAGCCAAAAUGAUUCAUUUUCUUUCAAUAAUAUAAUGAAAAUGACUAAAAAUAACAUAAAAUAUCAUUCAAAUAUAACGUAAAUUAGUCACUUAUCAUCCAUUUAAGAAAUUAGAGAUGGAUUUUGCAGUUUAGUCCCUAGUCUUUCAAGUAAUUUUACUGUGACCUUAUAAACUUUAGAUUUCUUUCAAUUAGGUUCUUAAUUUAAUUACAAUUCGGUCCCUAAACUUUAUCUUUUAUUUAAUUUUGACCCCUGGUCUUUGUAAGAAUUAUAAUUUGACCUUAAAAACUUUUUAUUUUUGCAUUUGGGUCCCUAACAGGUUGAUUUCUUAAGUAUAAUUUGUCCAUCUUUUUUAAUUAUUAAUCAUCACUCAUUUAAAUGCAUUUAAUUAGUAAAUUUUAGGCAUUUUAUGUUUAUUUAUAUUUCUUCAUAGUAAUAAAGUGAAUUUGUUAUAUGUUUACACUUUCUUUUAAAUUGUCAAUUAAAUUGGUACAUUGACUAUUUUGUUAGUUGUGGAGUAUAAAUAGGGUAAAUUUCAAGGGAGUUAUUUUCUAUUAUUAUUUUAAAUCUUUUUAUGUGUUCUUAUGUAUUUUUUAUGUGUGAUUGCAUGGUUUGAGUGCUUUUUCUUGUAUUUACUCAUUUUAUUCAUAUUUAAUUUUUAUUUAUUAUAUUUAAUUUUUGAUGAUUAUUUGGAGGGCAUUUAAAUGUCAAAUUGUAAUAGAUAGAUGUUCAAGAAAUGUAUUUAGCUAGACUAUGUAAUAGAUAGAUUUUAUUUUUGCCAAAAAAUGUAAUUAGUUAGAUGAAUGUAAUAGUUAGGUUAUUAUUUUUCAAAUUCCCUCCUUAAAUUGUAGUUAGGGUUGCAAAUGUAAUAGUUAAGUCUUUAUAUGCGUUUAUUUACUUGUGUGCUUGCAUGCUUGUGUGCUUAUGUGUUUAUUCACUUUCUUUAGAAUUUUGCAUCUGGAUAUCAUGCCUAAGUGUUAUGUGCUCUAUGUGUUUAUUUGAUUUAAUUAUGCUUUAUAUGUUUUAUUUAUUUAUAAUCAAUGCAUGACUACACCACACUAGUCCAACGCUAGUUGUGACUUUUCUCCCUGUUUUUUCACUAGUUCAAUGCUAGUGAGGACUUGUAAGAAUGGGUUAGUCUAAUGCUAGGCCCUUUAAGCCAUUUACGCGCUAGAUUCAUACCUUCUAUGACAUUUAUUGCAUUUCAUGCAUUUUCCCUAUCUUUAGGUUAUUUUCAUUUGUAUGAUAUUUUCCCUAUUAUUAUUUCCUUACCCUUUAUAUGUUUGGACCAUAUCAUUUAAAUUGCAUUUCACUUUAGGAAAUUAGAAAUAGGUUAGUCCAGUUACUUGACUAGGUCAAAAGAAUCACUCAUCAAAUAUGAAAAACAAAUGAGCAUGGCUUUUUAGUUUUAGCACGCUCUUAUUCCCUCUAUAAAAAGGAAAAUUGAGUCACGAAUUUUAACAUCCUGUACCCAUUAUGUUACAUUCUUCUUUUCUAGGUCAUAUAUAUUUAUUUAUAUAUUAUAAUUUUUUUAGUCCAAUUUUUGCCGUGACCUCUUCUAAGAAUCAUUUUUGAACAUCACAAUUAAUGUGAUUUAUACAAAUUAAAUUUUGAAGAGACAUUUCGACCCUCCCAAUAUCCUUUAAGUCUUGAUUUGCAUCAAUGUAGAAACAUUUAAAUGUGAUAAGUUUUAUAAGUUAGAUUAGGAAAAUUUUUAGCUAAAUCUCGCAAUUAACCUUAGUUAGGUUGAAAGGGUGUCUUAGGUUUGAACCUAUCAAAUUUUUGCCUUCUCUUUCUUCAACCGUGACUCCCGAACUCUUUUCUUUUAUUUUCAAAGACCUUGAGUCAUCUAAAAGGAGUUUUAUUUGUUUAUUUAAAAAUAUUUUGGAUGAUUUGGUACACCUAAAUUCAAUACCAAGUGGCGACUCUUUAUUUAUUUAUUUAUUUCUAAAAACUCUUUUUUAGACUAUCAUUUUGGAUUCAAUCCGUCGCAUUUUCUAAGUCCCAUUUUAGGCUCUUCUUUUUCCUUUAUUUUUUAAAAACAUAAAUUCAUUUUUUCAGCACUAAAUUUAUUUUUCAAAAAAUGAGGGCGCGACAACAUACAUACACAGAUAUAUAUAUAAAUAGAGAGAGAGAGAGAGAGAGAGAGAGAGAGAUUAUCAGUCCAUCUAUGGCUCCAUGGAAGGGAGUUCAUAACAUUUAUUAAUAGAGCAAGCUAUAUAUCUAAAAUCUGUCACCCUAUUAAUUAGUAAUCUCUACUUUGAAUUUUAAGAUUAUCUUACGUACCCUGGAGGGAAUCAAAUAUAUACACGACGUCUUGUGAAAAGUAAAAUGAUUAUAGAAAAACACAUUCCUCCAAUCCAGUUUGAGGUUAAGCCAUCACGUGCUUGUUCUAAUAAUCAUGAUUGGCAAUUUAGCAUAAAGUGUUAAGUUCGAUUGAAAAUAAAGAAAAACCAAAGGACGAUGACGAAAUCUAUUCAUGCGGAAUUCACAACUAAUCAUAAUAAAAAAAAGUAGUAUUUAUUCAACUUGUAACAGUAACGUACAAUAACACAUAAUGCUUUAUCAUUCAGUUGUGACAACCAAAUGAUUCAAAGUUUACAAGAAUAGUAGACGUCUUGCUCACAAGCUGAAAAUUCGGCCCACUACUCACCUCUGAGCUUCUUAGGCCUUUAUUUAUAAGUUAUAACAUAAUCUGUCUGAUCCGAAGUUUGUAUUUACAAUGUAUGACUAAAUUCAAAUGACGGUCUAACUCUAGAAGUGGUGUGUUUAGGUGCAGGGAUAAGCGAUGAGUAAAUUCUUUUGGGUGAUAAUGAAGGUAGGUUGUGGUAGAAAUGACGGUGAACUCAUAUUCGAGAAGAGGAAUUGUAUUUGUUAAUCCCCUCCCCUAGGAUG
This 26442-nucleotide long non-coding RNA is filed under the name Coffea arabica (coffee). RNAcentral describes it as "long non-coding RNA (CARA_LNC001115)". The record is from RNAcentral. Lineage: Eukaryota; Viridiplantae; Streptophyta; Magnoliopsida; Gentianales; Rubiaceae.